This 530-nucleotide long non-coding RNA is filed under the name Fukomys damarensis (Damara mole-rat). RNAcentral describes it as "lncRNA (ENSFDAG00000026770.1)". The record is from RNAcentral. Lineage: Eukaryota; Metazoa; Chordata; Mammalia; Rodentia; Bathyergidae.
GCCUCAUGUGCUCAGUUGUGUGCAGGAUGUCGGCGGGUUCCUUGCUGCCUGGGCCUUCACUGCACAGCUGGGCCUCCGAGGAAGCUGCUUACUCCAUUCUGGCAGAGCUCCCUGUGGGCCUUUCUCCGCGCCCUACCGCUUCUUAUGGCAGCCGGAUUCGGUCCCCAGUCCCCGUGUCCUGCGUGAGAGAGGGCUCCUGUCCCAGCCCCAACAGCAGGAGAGAGCUGAUGUCCUCACUAUCUGACCGUGGCCUCGUCCUGCUUCCUGUCCUUCUCCAGAGGAAAUUGGAUCAAAACGGACCAUCCUCUGGGCUGGCAGACUCUUCUAGGAAUCAGGACCUAUCCCUGUUCUCACACCUUCAUCACAAAUAACAGGCAAGAGUUAUCUGUCAUGCUGGGAAUUCCCAUACCAAGAACUCUGGAAUUUCGCAGUCUGUAGAGGACACUUUCAAAAUCGUGUCAAGAUUUUAUAAAAUGUGUUUCUCAGCAGACAGAAAACUAGGACUGUCUUUCAUUGUAGUUUUGUAGCAC